AUUGAACGCUGGCGGCAGGCUUAACACAUGCAAGUCGAGCGGGGGAAGGUAGCUUGCUACCGGACCUAGCGGCGGACGGGUGAGUAAUGCUUAGGAAUCUGCCUAUUAGUGGGGGACAACAUCUCGAAAGGGAUGCUAAUACCGCAUACGUCCUACGGGAGAAGGCAGGGGAUCUUCGGACCUUGCGCUAAUAGAUGAGCCUAAGUCAGAUUAGCUAGUUGGUGGGGUAAAGGCCUACCAAGGCGACGAUCUGUAGCGGGUCUGAGAGGAUGAUCCGCCACACUGGGACUGAGACACGGCCCAGACUCCUACGGGAGGCAGCAGUGGGGAAUAUUGGACAAUGGGGGGAACCCUGAUCCAGCCAUGCCGCGUGUGUGAAGAAGGCCUUAUGGUUGUAAAGCACUUUAAGCGAGGAGGAGGCUACUUUAGUUAAUACCUAGAGAUAGUGGACGUUACUCGCAGAAUAAGCACCGGCUAACUCUGUGCCAGCCGCCGCCGUAA
RNAcentral lists this ribosomal RNA (501 nucleotides) under uncultured bacterium. RNAcentral describes it as "partial 16S ribosomal RNA". It matches the Rfam family "Bacterial small subunit ribosomal RNA", at positions 30 to 523 of the family's 1533-position model. The record is from RNAcentral.